RNAcentral lists this signal recognition particle RNA (257 nucleotides) under Saimiri boliviensis boliviensis (Bolivian squirrel monkey). Its description in RNAcentral is "Metazoan signal recognition particle RNA (ENSSBOG00000006507.1)". It matches the Rfam family "Metazoan signal recognition particle RNA". From Rfam's summary of the family: The signal recognition particle (SRP) is a universally conserved ribonucleoprotein. It is involved in the co-translational targeting of proteins to membranes. Lineage: Eukaryota; Metazoa; Chordata; Mammalia; Primates; Cebidae. The record is from Rfam by way of RNAcentral.
GCUGGGCUUGGUGGCUUGUGCCUGUAGUCCCAGCUACUUGGGAGCCCAGGCAUUCUGGGCUGUAGUGUGCUAUACCAAUCGGUGUCCACACUAAGUUCGGCAUCAAUAUGGUGACCUCCCAGGAGUGGAGGAUGACCAGAUUGUCUGGGGAGGGGUGAACCAGCCCAGGUCGGAAACAGAGCAGGUCAAAACAUCUGUGCUGAUCAGUAGUGGGAUUGCGCCUAUGAAUAGCCACUGCACUCCAGCCUGGGCAACAU